Molecule: long non-coding RNA, 1958 nt
Organism: Mya arenaria
Lineage: Eukaryota; Metazoa; Mollusca; Bivalvia; Myida; Myidae
Exons: 6
Source: RefSeq, a predicted model, not a curated record
AUUGAGACCAUUACCGCCAACUGAGGACGGUCUCAUUUGGCAUUUUUUUAAGGUAGUCUCAAAGUUCGUUUUAUGACUUGAAACGAAAAAUAAAAUCAUAAAAAUGGACUGCCCUCAGUUGGAGGUCAGAAGGGUCAAGUGUAUGGGAAGUGCGUGACCGUCCGUAAAUUUCCAUUUUUUGCCUCUGUUUUGGUCACACUCUGGACAGUGGUCUCGAUUGGCUGUGUUACACGCAUCAUCAACUGAACAUUGCCAUGAUGUGAAUACUGUUGAUACUGAUGAUGUGGAUGCUGAUGAUGUGGAUGAUGAUAAUGUGGAUGCCUCCGGACUGAAAUAGCUGGACAGUGCCAUGAUGUGAAUACUGAUGAUACUGAUGAUGAGGAUGCUGAUGAUGUGGAUGCUGAUGAUGUGGAUGCCUCCGUUGAUCAACCAGUGACUGAAAUAGCUGGACAGUGCCAUGAUGUGAAUACUGUUGAUACUGAUGAUGUGGAUGUUGAUAAUGCUGAUGCCUCCGUUGAUCAACCAGGGACUGAAAUAGGUCAACUCGAAGCAGUCCUAAAUGCUGGGAUUGGCACAAACCAUGAAAAACGAACAGCCACAGUCAGAACACCUUGGAGCUAGGCUGAAGAAGACGUGGUAGAAAAUGGCCUUAAAAAGUGUUUUAAGCUUAAUACUCCACCAAAAAUAAGUUAGAUUGUCUUGAACUUAUAAAGAAGUAUCCAAUUCUUGCCAGGCGAUCAAGGACAAUGGUGAAAGGGUAUAUUAGAACAAGGCAACUGGCCUUGCAAUAGGCUCAUCAAAAAGCAAACAAUUAAACAAAUAGAUACUUUAAAUUAUAGAAUAGACUAGAUUGCAUUUUGAUUUAAGCUUUAUAUCUGAAUACAAUCAGUGAUUGACAUUUUCUUUGGAUGUUGUUCUAUUUUUAUUUAUUUUUUAACAAUUAAAAAUUUGAAAUUAAAUAUGGUAAUAACUUGUCCUCAAUUGGAGGUGAUUUUGCUCGAAUUGUCCAUGAUGUUUGUGGUCAUUUACACUGCAGUGUAUUCAAUUGUUUUUUUGUUCCAUGGUAAAUAAUUGUGUGUGGUAUUGUUUUGUAUUGAAUGCUUCUGUCACUUCUCAGUGAUGUGAUGUUUUUCGUGUUGUUGGAUAAAUUGAUGAAAUGCAAAUGAAAUAUCAUCAUGUAUGAACAUGUCAAACAAAAAUGUAUUAAUUUUCUUCUGUUUGCUAUCAAAACGUUAAGUAUUUGUUUGGUUGAAUUGUAUCUAGAGCCAAUGAAUGAAGAUUUGUUAAUUACUGAAAUUUGAUAUGCAUUAAUUUUUGUAAAAAAAAAAAUUCAGAAAAAAGUAUCUUGGUAUUGUGAUAUGCCUUGGCACCUGUCAGGGCUGUGGGCAUCAUGCAGUCUUUUACCUAGGACAGUAACUAAAUCACUUCAUAUUUAGAUAAAACUUGGUUAAUAUGUUGCCAGGGACAAUAUGCAUGUGUACAUCAAGGGGCAUAACUCUGGCUUUAGUUUGUAUUGAGUUAUGCCUCAUUUUCGAAGGAGAAAAAAACAGACGAGCGCUGGUGUUCUCUUCAUGGCGCUCUUGUUGACCUUGGCAAGAUCAAGGUUCAAUGUUGAAAUAAGAUAUGCCUUAGUUUAGACUUUAAUAGCUUUAAUAGUGAUUGUUGUGUAAAGUGGACUUUCAACAUAUUUUAUCAUAUAAAUAGAAGUAUGAAUUCUGCUCUUUGGAGCUAAAAAUUAUCUACUUUCCGGCUGUUGAUAAUUAUGUACUUAUUUCACAUAUCCGAGCAUGGUAUGUAUCCGAGGUUCUUUUGACAUGUAUUUGUAUCCAUUUGUCUACAUAAUACUGAUUACUUAGUAUUGAUAUAUUCGUAUUUAAUACCUGUCCUGUAAUGAUCAGCUAUAUAAAUAUAUCCAUCCUUCUGAAGUUUCUGUUAAUUGACACUUAACUAUUACAGUA